GAUGAAGAGUUCUCAGCUUUCUGCCUUCUCCAUGACUGGCUUACCACGGAGAAAGAAGUGAAGGGUAAGAGCCCACCCCAAUUGUGAGAUGGAAGGCGCCCAAGAGCCGUGAGACAGCGAGCGUUGUUGAUUCCAGGCUAUGCAGAUGCCAUGAAGCUGGGAGUGGAGCAGAUGUCACCAUCAGUGAGAUAAGUGUCUGGUUUCGUGAGGACUCUGGUAACGGCCCACCUGCUUCUAGGCCAGGACUUGUCGUUAGCUGGGGCUGAGUUUGUAGGAAAAGGUUCCUGAAUAGCUGUAGUUACGAGGGAGACAAGGUCCCCAUUUUCAGGGGCUGGUCAUUUCUCUGUCCACAAGCAGUGUGUUCUCUGCAGCAGAAGGUUGGAUCCAGGGGGAUGACUCCAGCUGGUGUGUUUCUUGACUUCCUCCCACAUUUUUCUCUCUGUCUCUCUCUCCUCUAAUGUGUUGGCCAACACACUCUCUGUCUAUCUGUCUCUCUCUGUCCCUGCCUCUCCUUGUCCUGUCUCCUUUCGUAGGACAUGGGCAGGUGUGGUAGCUGUGUGUCCCCACAGGCUAGGUCUUGGGAGCGAUGAACAAGUAGGAGGGGACCAAAAUGAUGCAGGGCAGUAGGUGCUAGAGUGCAGCGGUGACUGUGGGUGUUGACGGAGUUUCUGCUCUAGUGGGGCUGAUGUGGAUGGCGUGGGACAGGGAGGUAGGGAUGAGGGCAAGAUUUCAUGCACCAGUUGAAUUUUGUGUAGUGAUGGCUUUUUCUUGGGUUACGUCCUGCGUUUGCAGAGGAAUCCUCCAAGAGCAGCAGCCGGAGGAGAAAUUGGUGGAAGUGGACCUCAGCCGCCUGGAAAUCCUUCUAAGCAGACAUGAACAGUCUUCAGCUUUCUGCCUCCCACGUAACUGCCUGUGAAUAAGAGUACCAAGGGAAAAGAAGUCACGUGUCACUGUCUACUGCCUUCAUGUCAUGGAAAGCGAGCGAGAGCGAUGGGACCUCAGGAACUACUGAUGCCAAGGAAAAGCUGUUCUACUGGGAGUGGAACAGUCACCACUCUCAAUGAGAUAAGUGUCUGUUUUGGUGAUUGCUCUGCUCCCGGCCCACCUUGCUCCUGGUAGGGACGCUCCAUUUGCUGGGGCUGUGUUUGUAAGAAAGUGUUUUUGACUAGCUGUGUUUAUGAGGGAGACAAGGUCCCCAUUUUCAGGGGCUGCUCAGUUCUCUGGCCAGUAGCAGUGUGUCCUCU
Long non-coding RNA from Mauremys reevesii (Reeves's turtle), 1244 nucleotides. RefSeq lists it as uncharacterized. The transcript is spliced from 3 exons. NCBI's taxonomy places the organism in Eukaryota, Metazoa, Chordata, Testudines, Geoemydidae. The record is from RefSeq and is a predicted model, not a curated record.